RNAcentral lists this unclassified non-coding RNA (376 nucleotides) under soil metagenome. Its description in RNAcentral is "partial contains 5.8S ribosomal RNA, internal transcribed spacer 2, and large subunit ribosomal RNA". The stretch from base 1 to 120 matches the Rfam family "5.8S ribosomal RNA", at positions 35 to 154 of the family's 154-position model. The record is from RNAcentral.
GAUGAAGAACGUAGCGAAAUACGAUAAGUAAUGUGAAUUGCAGAAUUCAGUGAAUCAUCGAAUCUUUGAACGCAUCUUGCGCUCCUUGGUAUUCUGAGGAGCAUGCCUGUUUGAGUGUCAUUAAAUUCUCAACUACACUGACUUUGAAUUGGUGUGGCUUGGAUUUGGGGGGAAAAUUGUUGUGGGCUUUUUGUAUAGUCUGCUCCCCUGAAAUUGAUUAGCGGUACCUUUGUGGAACUGUCUACAGGUGUGAUAAUUAUCUACAUCUUAGACAUCUGCUGGAAUGCUGCUUUCUAAACCUAACUUGUAUUGACAAUCUUGACCUCAAAUCAGGUAAGACUACCCGCUGAACUUAAGCAUAUCAAUAAGCGGAGGA